Molecule: small RNA, 554 nt
Filed under: Pan troglodytes (chimpanzee)
Lineage: Eukaryota; Metazoa; Chordata; Mammalia; Primates; Hominidae
Description: processed transcript
Source: RNAcentral
CUGUUGGAGAGAGCUGCACAGUAAUGUGAAUAUCAGGAGGCAAGGAUGAUUGGAGCCAUCUUGGAGGCUGGCUACCACAAUAAUGCUUCCUUCUUUUUGAAGGUCUUGCCUGAACACUUUGUGAUAUAGCCAUUCCAAGGUGAGAUGCCUCAGCUCGUAAAAGGAAUGAAACUGUUAAACCAGGCUGAUCCCUGUGUCCAGAUUUUAAUUCAGGAAACAGGAGAGCACGUUUUAGUCACAGCAGGAGAAGUCCACCUUCAGCGAUGCCUGGAUGACUUAAAAGAAAGGUUUGCAAAGAUUCAUAUUAGUGUAUCUGAACCUAUUAUUCCAUUCAGAGAAACAAUCACAAAACCCCCAAAAGUUGACAUGGUCAAUGAAGAAAUAGGCAAACAGCAAAAAGUUGCAGUCAUACACCAAAUGAAAGAAGAUCAAAGCAAAAUCCCUGAAGGAAUCCAAGUUGACUCUGAUGGGCUAAUCACCAUAACAACUCCCAAUAAACUUGCCACGCUCAGUGUUCGAGCCAUGCCCCUUCCAGAAGAAGUCACCCAGAUUCU